Felis catus (domestic cat) is the source of this 5332-nucleotide long non-coding RNA. RefSeq lists it as uncharacterized. Lineage: Eukaryota; Metazoa; Chordata; Mammalia; Carnivora; Felidae. The transcript has 2 exons. The record is from RefSeq and is a predicted model, not a curated record.
CUCGUUUUGUUUGUAUAUUGUUUUCCUAAUUUCAAUGAAUUGUCUUUCUGUGUUUUCUUCUAGCUCUCUGAGCUUCCAUAAAACAAUUAUUUUGAAAUCUAUAUUGGGCAAAUUGCAGAUGCACAUUUCUUUGGAUUCAGUUACUAAAAAUUAUGAUGUUCCUUUGGUAGUGUCAUGUUUCCUUGAUUUUUCAUGUUUCUUGCAAGCCUUGUGUUGCUUUCUUUGCAUUUGAACAGUCACUUCCUCCAGUCUUCACUGAUUGGGUUUAGGAGAUAAAUACCUUUCAUUAGCCCUGGUAGGGAAUCUGAGGCUUUCUCAGACUUUUUCUUUGAAUAUGCCUGCUCCGUACUUCUUGUUCUUUCUUUGGCAGAUUUCUUAAGCUUGUAUACCUUCUCUUGAUUCUAUAAAGCCAGGAUGGGUGCUGGAAGCCUCUCUUUUGCUUUCCCUAGAGUGGUGCUGAAUGCUGAAAUUUGUGUGAUUUUUCUUCCAGAUGUGUAGGGUUAGGCUUUUUUCACAUGAUUACUAACUGCAGAAGUUUGCUCUCACCACUACUGGGAGUGCACACAGGGAGUCGGCCACAAGGUUGGGAGUUGUAUGGGUUUGGUGCAUGGGGCACUAGGGGUCCCCAUGGGCCAGAUCGGAGAAUCUGCUGGUAAGGCAUUCUUCAGUGGUUUUUGGGUGGGCUUCCUGAUAAAAGUCUGUGAAGCACUCAGUACGGUCUGUGCAUCUUUGAUACUUUCUGGUCUGACCCCUGGAUGCUAUUCUCCCAGUUGCUCCCUGCCCCUCAUCUUGCAGUUCAUACUCAGUGUUCUGAAUGGGGUGAGAAAUAAGUUGAUCUGUUGGACAGUGUCCUGCACAGCUGGGGAAGCUGGGUGCUUAUUUACAUGUUCUCAUUUUCCCUGAUGGGAGAAGUUAUGGACCAAGAAGGUCCCUCUUGGCACUAAGCUAUGCUUCUUUGGGAAGAAGGUAGUGCAGGUAAAGUGAAACUGUUCCUCUUAUCCUCUUCAAUAUUUCUAGUCUGAGAUUUUUUGGAUCCAGUGGUGUGCUGGAACUUCUCUGCUGGACACCUGGACUUCCACAAAGACUCUCUUGUCUGUGGGCGAUUGUCUAAAUCAGUGUUCUUUUGGGAGGAAGAGAGUAGAAAAUCCUUAUUCUGCCACAAUGAUGACAUCACUCCUUUAAGUCUUAAUUUAAAUGCAACUUCUAGCUUUCUGCAUAUUAAAGAAUGAGGAAUAUUAUAAUAUUAUGAGUUAACAAAGCCAUUUUAAUUCCAAUUGAAAGUGACAUGGGACUUUGACUCUAAACUCUAAUUUAGUUUUUAUUUCCAUUAAUAGUGAGUGAUAUGAAAUUACAUGAAAUUACAGAGUCUUGGAUUUAUUGGAAUCAGAUUUAGUUUUGCAAAAUUACAUAGGGACUAAGGAUACUCCUUUUGAGAUUUAAAAUUAUUAAAAUAUCUUUGAUGGAUGGGAGUAGCCCAACUAAAGUCAGCUGUAAGAAGAUAUCAGCUCCUAAGAAAACUUCACUAUCAUGCAAAGGCCAUUCCAAACUAGUGACUUGGGAUCUCUUUUAGGUCCUUGGGGGUUAAGGAAGAGGAAUGGUUUUAGGUAUGAUGAGGCUAAGAAUGUGAAGCUAUUUUUCCAUCAAUCUAUCUUACUGUGAGUAUGCCCUGAGAAAGCUGGCUGUAUUUCAAGGAAAGAUUAUAACAGCUAAGGAAGGAACAGCCUCCUUCUGCAACCUGGGGAAACCUGCUAUCUGGGCGGAGACUGGACCAGGAGCAGGUUGUAAUGACUAGGGCAAGAAUGUUAGUUCCAGGUGCAGCUCUUCAGCUUGCCAAUCUUUGUUAAGUGAAGAUGCUAGAACAAUUGGUAUUAGUAGGGAGAAAUGGAGGGAUUUCUUCUGACUAUCCAAAUUUUGACUGUCACUAACUUGUUUAAUGAUAGCAACAGCAUUUGACUGUUCUAGACCUGUAGAUGUCUAGUGCUUCUCAGACUUCAAUGUAUAUAUGAAUCAUCUGAGGAUCUUGUUAAAGUGCAGGUUCUGAUUCAUUGGAUAUGAGUAAAUCUUGAUAUUCUACAUUUCUCACAAGAUCCCUGGUGAAUUUAACGCCGCUUGUCCAAGGACCAUAUUUUGUGUAGCAGAGUGUGGUAGGCAGAUUUAUAGCCCUCAAGAAGAGUUUGUGCUCUAAUCCCUGGGACUAUGAGUCUGUUAACUUCUUAGAAAAAGGGACUUUUCUGAUGUAAUUAAGUUUCCUAGUCCAUUGGACUUAAAAUAGGGAGGUUAUCCUGCAUUAUCUGAGUGGGUGCAAUAUAUUUACAUGAACUCUUAACAGCAGAAAGCGGAGAAGAGGAGGUAAGGGAGAUUCCAUAUGUGAGAAAGAUUUGGCAUAUCAUUGCUGCCUUGGAGAUGGAAAAGCCAUGUGGAAAGUAUAAGAAGGAAUUGAAUUCUGCUAACAUCCUGAAUGUGCUUGAAAGUGGAUUUUUUCCCAGAGCAUCUAGUAAGGAAUGCAGCACUGCCAAGCCAUUAAUUUUAGUCUUGUGAGCCCUAAGCAGAGAGUCCAAUUGAGCAAUUCUGUGCCCAGAAUUAUAAACCACCGUAACUAUGAGGUACAAAAUGGGUAUUAGUUUAACUGCUAAAUUUGGAUAAUUUAUUAUAUUAGAAAUAGAAAACUAAUAUGUAAGGUAAUCUAGACCAUCUAGCAUCUAGGGAGAGCAUGAAGUCAUUCAACAUUAGUAGGGUGAAUCUGAGUUCCAGAUCCAGGGAUGAUGUGAGAACAACCUCAAUGGGCCUUUGCAUUGAAUAGACUCCUAGGGUUCUCAUAACUAUUAAGAGAGGCAUGACCCUAGGAGACCAAAGAUGUUCUCACAACCAGAGUCAUAUUAAAAUAGAAUAUUUAAAGAGAUGUAAGGAUCUUUAAAUGUAUAUAACACAAGCUAUCUAUCUAUAUAGAUAGGUAGAUAGGUAGAUAUAACAAAUAGCAUCCAUCUAUUAGGAGACAGUUCUUCAUGGGCCUGUUGUAUUUCUGCACUGUCACAGGCAGUAACACUGACAAUCUUUCAGACAGUCCAUUCAAGGAUGCUUGUGUAGUGAAUAAACUUGGAAUCUGGAGACAAUGAUGUUUUCUGGAGAAGGGGGCAGGUUUAUUUACUGUUCAGUAUAAUAAAGGUAAUAUUUUCCUCUGGGGCAAAAAUAGGACAAGUUUGCUUGCAUCCUAUUUUAAAAUAUUGGGUUUCUUUUAGCGUGGUGUUUCUCAGCUGUGUUGCAAACCCACUAUGUGCACAGCAUCUGCCUCGGCUGCUCAGGAUUAUUCCCAUGGGACUCGGGGGUUGGGUAGAGGAAAUGUAAAGUGAAACUCAUGCUUGUUGUGCUGUAAUAACAUCCCUUGUCUCUGACCUAGGAGUCUUUUCUCUUCUGUCACCAGUCAUGCAGCUGUAGCUGGCUAAUUUGUUAGCUUGUAAGUAGGUUAAAACCUCAGAUUUUCACAAUUCUUAACUAUGUGAAUAAAUCUGUGUGUUUGUGUUUGUGUCUAUGGGUGUGUGUUUAUGUAGGUCUCAAAUUUCAAAUGUUUUUAUCUCUUGACAAGAAGUAAGUUGAAGAAGAUUUACCUAUUAUGGAGUGGUCUGAAGUUUCUCAACACCAUUAAUUCAAUAGGUUUUCAGUUCUAGUGCUUUCUUCUUAAACCAUGAAGUUCAUACUGAAUAUCCUGCCAUUAAAGAAAUAUUACCUUCAGUCCAUAAGAACUCCCAAAGUUUUACUGAAAUAAGCAGCUAUGCUUAACUUUUUUGAUAUUAUUUUAUUACCAAGGUCAACACUGUUAAGUUACAUAUAUCCUUCCCCUAUAUUAUUUUAUAUUAUAUGGAAUUUUGGUUUUCUUAUAUCCUACCCAUUGAGUGUAUUUUUGUCGGAAAUAUCUGCUUCAUUUAGGUAAUAAUGGAGGUAAUGACGUUGAGCUAUGUUCCUGACUUAAAAAUUUUCUUAAAUAAUAUAUUCUAAGUUUUGGGACUUGAAGUGAGCCUUUGGUAAACAUUUUAAGAGGUAAUUAUUAUUCUCAACCAUUUUUAGGAAGAUAUAAUUUUGUAGGAGGGUCUCAGUAUAAAAGUAUCUCACUAGUAAACAUAUCAAAACUUAGCAGAUAUUUAUUGUUUUUUCUGGGUAGACUGGAAAAUUCUGUAAAUUACCUUUUCUCUGUUUUCAUCUUUUAGAUCCAUAAGGAAGAAUAUAGAUGUGAGUGUACCCAAACAAAACUCGAGUUUCAUUUUUCAAAAAAAUAGGUUACUUGAGGGCCUGGGAAGACUCGGGCAUUCAAAGUAUAGCUUGUUUGGUAUCGGAUGUCACUUGAUAUUCUUCUGUAUCAAGGGUAUCUUUUUCUUCAAUAUGUCUAUUGAAUAUUUAUUUUGUCUACCAAGACAGAUUAAAUAUUUGUAUGCAGAACUGUUCCAAUUUUAGAAAAAGACUAUAAAAGAUUAUAUGCGAAUUGUUUUUGUGUUUUUAACCACCACUAUUUCUCCAUCUGUUUUCAUAGGUUUCUGCCAAGAGGAAGAACAUGAAAAAUAGUCUAGGCUCAGUACUACCAUUUUUUGAAAAUUUUUGGAAAAGCAAUAACAAGUCAUUGUAUAAUAAGGCAUUGUUCCUGUUUACUGAGUAGAAGAUUGCCUGGCAGACCUGCCUGAAAUUAGGGGUGGAAGGACUGAGGGAGAUGAUGAAGGAAAAUAAUUCCGUCUAAAGAAGAUCUGUCUUCAUUGUAUAGGCCCCGCUGACCUGAUUAAUCAGUUUCUUUUUACUGAAAAAUUCACUCAUUCAUUUACUCAUUCACUCAUGAGUUAAAAAUUCACUCAUUUACUGUUUGCUUUUUUGGAGCACCUUCUGUGUACAAAGAACUUUUAGCUAAACAAUGCAUUUCUUUUCUUUUAAAAACAACAAAUCUUGCUAAGCCAUCUCUUUAUUCAACACAGAAAAAAAAAUCCAUGCUUUCUUUGUUGCAGUGGUACAGACUUGUUUUCAGUAUUUUGAGUCCGACCUCUGAAUAAGAUAUUUUUUUUCUUUUCUAACAGAUCACUGUCAACAUGUAGCUUGUUUUGGCUAUUAUAUACUAUUUUCCUGGAGAAUUAUUCAUUCACUAUUUCCAGGCACUAUUCUUCCUCAUGACAACUCUAUGAGGAAGAUGUUUUAUCAUCUCCUAAAAGAUGAGACAACAGAGCUCCAGCAACUUGUCCAAAGACACAACUCACAAAACUAGUAAGACCUCCAGAGUCUGUGCUGCUAACCAGGGAACCAGUGUGCCUGUAUGGAAAUAACUUCUCUAUUAAAUAAUAAAUAAAAGACUAUUUUCAUUGUU